Molecule: unclassified non-coding RNA, 1289 nt
Filed under: Pocillopora damicornis (cauliflower coral)
Lineage: Eukaryota; Metazoa; Cnidaria; Anthozoa; Scleractinia; Pocilloporidae
Description: transcription factor SOX-14-like, transcript variant X1
Source: RNAcentral
CAACGCGGUUGCAAACGUCCAAGUGGGCGGGAAUCACGGUGCGUGGUUAACAAGCAGCUGUCGCUUUGGUUUUCGUAAAAGAAUCAUUAUUUGAGUAAAGAAUACUUAUUGCGGUAGUUCCUAACAGAUGCAAAGGAGAAAAAAAAACAGAGGAGUGAGACUGUUUGGCUUCAGUCUUCAGAGAGUUUACAUGACUGGGCAUGAGUUGCGUGGAAGUUUGAAAUUUAAAACACAGAGUAGGAAAGCAUGGAUCGGGAAAUGAGGAGAGGGUAACUGAAGAUGACUCAGGAAACGAUGCAAGAGGAAAGAAAGGCCAAGCCAGAUAAAGUCGUCAUGUAGGCGGGAUGAAUAUAACUUAAACACCGUGCAAAAAAAAGUUGAAUACAACAAAGUGCUAGGCUAAGCUUUAAAUAAACAGUAAAUUCUAGAGCUAAAAUAUAUUUAUGCGUUUUUUAAUUACCUCUAAAACGGGUUCUAGUUCUGCUUGUGCCGAUAUAAUUGACAAUUCUCCUGAUCGAUUUUGAAGUAGCGUUUAUCCAGCUUCACAGCAUCAAUUGUUUUCUUUUUAAAUUUAACAUAUUCAUUGUCUUUGAGAACCCUCAACUUUGAAUUUCCUCUUUUAAAGAAACAGUCAGGUUUCUGGUCCCUUACAGAGCCAACCUUGCAAUUUAAGAGCCCCCCUGGAAUGAUUUAUCCCGUUUUUUCAAAACGGCUUAAACACGAUCGUGCAAAUACUAAUUUAUGUCCUUGGAAAUGUUUAUCGAGAUAAUUGAAUUCACUGUAGCGAAAAUACGGUAGUUUAAUGCAUCUUUAACAAAGACCAUAUUACAAUUACCAUAUUAUAAAACUUUUUAUGGCGUGAGAGGUCCAUUUUAUUGGAUUUUAUAAUUUGCAGCUGUGUGAGUCGGUUGAAUCUUGGCCGCUAACUGCGUGGAAAAGUAAUUUCCCGCUUUCUCUAAAUGAAUAUAUUCUCCCACUUAUUCUCCUACAUCGCGAACCUUCAUGCUAUUAAUCUGUCUUUAUCUCUUUGAUUCUUCACUUUUUUGUUUGGCGAAAAAGAAAAAGAAUUGUUAAACUUAUCAGAUUCGGCUCAAAAUUUGAUCAAAACUUGAAGGAAAAAAUUUGCCAUUUUUCCCUAGGUAUGACUCCUGCACAGAGAUAUCUGAUGAGACUCAUAAUAGCAACAUUCGGCGUAUUCAUCAAUAUGAUAUUUCCAUAGACGUAAGUUUCAAUUUUUCACCCCCUCAGCCUCCGUUUAAGGAAUUACGGAGUUUGUCGCGCGCUGUGGA